GAGAGAGGAGUCAUCAUCCAGGUAAAGUGACGUGGAUCAGUGGAUACACUUGUCUCCCCUUUAAAGGAGAUACUCUUAGAGAGAGAUGAUCCGAGUCAUCCUUAAAUUAUAUCAGUCUUGGACUGUCUAACCUGCAGGAGCAGCAUUGAAUGACCACCACACAUGAGCUUGUUCCUGCAACAUUCAGCAUCUGAUCUGUCAUCUGUGUGCUUCUGAUUUUGUGUCAAAUGCUAAACAGCUGGAGAGGAAACUACACCAGUGUACUACUGGGAUGUUUCAGCAACACGUGCCAGACACUGUUCCUUCAUGGUGACAUCACCAGAGACAGCCCCGCCCACUUCACGACCUCGCCAUUGAUCAUGAUGAUUAUAAUGAUCACAGCGAAUGGAACGAAGACUGUAAAAAUC
This is a long non-coding RNA of Oreochromis niloticus (Nile tilapia), 407 nucleotides long. RefSeq lists it as uncharacterized. NCBI's taxonomy places the organism in Eukaryota, Metazoa, Chordata, Actinopteri, Cichliformes, Cichlidae. The record is from RefSeq and is a predicted model, not a curated record. The transcript is spliced from 3 exons.